RNAcentral lists this non-coding RNA (69 nucleotides) under marine eukaryotic metagenome. Its description in RNAcentral is "Glycine riboswitch". The stretch from base 4 to 65 matches the Rfam family "Glycine riboswitch aptamer", at positions 9 to 86 of the family's 94-position model. Rfam says of the family: This family represents the bacterial glycine riboswitch. Glycine riboswitches usually consist of two metabolite-binding aptamers domains with similar structures in tandem. The aptamers cooperatively bind glycine to regulate the expression of downstream genes. The record is from RNAcentral.
AAACUCUGGAGAGAGGGGUCACCGCCCCCGCCGAAGGGAUAACGAUCUCAGGCACACGGACAGAGGGGG